This 288-nucleotide ribosomal RNA is filed under the name Triticum aestivum (bread wheat). Its description in RNAcentral is "partial small subunit ribosomal RNA". The record is from RNAcentral. Lineage: Eukaryota; Viridiplantae; Streptophyta; Magnoliopsida; Poales; Poaceae.
AUGUUACCAGAUGGUAGUGGUUCAGAGGCAACACCGCCGGAGAGCAGUCUGAGCACAGAUAUUAUAGUUCUUGAGGCUCUACUAGAGGCAGAAAGAGAUGGUGUGGCUGCCAUGAAUGAGGUAAUCUCGAUCUUGAAGCUGGAAAUUAUGCAAUUAGCUGCACGCACUAUGCAAGCAACCCAAGAAUUGGAGGAAGUAAGAAUGUUCCAUUUGAAGACAGAGGAGGUCCUGCUGCUUCUGCUAUUUGAAGCCCAGGGUAAUCCCAGUUCUUCUUUAGAUAGCAGUUGA